GGUUGUGGCUCAGUGGUAGAGUGCUUGCCUCACAUGUCUGAGGCACUGGGAUGGAUCCUCAGCACCA
Molecule: transfer RNA, 67 nt
Filed under: Marmota monax (woodchuck)
Lineage: Eukaryota; Metazoa; Chordata; Mammalia; Rodentia; Sciuridae
Description: tRNA.Val
Source: RNAcentral